ACAGCAGUAGCCGCGGUAAUACGUAGGUGGCAAGCGUUGUCCGGAAUUAUUGGGCGUAAAGGGCUCGCAGGCGGUUUCUUAAGUCUGAUGUGAAAGCCCCCGGCUCAACCGGGGAGGGUCAUUGGAAACUGGGAAACUUGAGUGCAGAAGAGGAGAGUGGAAUUCCACGUGUAGCGGUGAAAUGCGUAGAGAUGUGGAGGAACACCAGUGGCGAAGGCGACUCUCUGGUCUGUAACUGACGCUGAGGAGCGAAAGCGUGGGGAGCGAACAGGAUUAGAUACCCGCGUAGUCCCUGUCUCUUAUAC
RNAcentral lists this ribosomal RNA (305 nucleotides) under uncultured bacterium. RNAcentral describes it as "partial 16S ribosomal RNA". It matches the Rfam family "Bacterial small subunit ribosomal RNA", at positions 506 to 807 of the family's 1533-position model. The record is from RNAcentral.